CGUGCUACCAUGCAGUCGACGAUGAUGAGUAGCUUGCUACUCUGAUUAGUGGCGCACGGGUGAGUAAUAUAUAGAUAACGUACCUCUUAGACUGGGAUAGCCAUUGGAAACGAUGAUUAAUACUAGAUACUCCUUCUAGCUCUAAUGCUAGUCGGGAAAGUUUUUUCGCUAAGAGAUCGGUCUAUAUCCUAUCAGUUAGUUGGUGAGGUAAUGGCUCACCAAGGCAAUGACAGGUAGCGGGUUUGAGAGGAUGAUCCGCCACACUGGUACUGAGACACGGACCAGACUCCUAUGGGAGGCAGCAGUGAGGAAUAUUGCACAAUGGGGGAAACCCUGAUGCAGCAACGCCGCGUGGAGGAUGACGCAUUUCGGUGUGUAAACUCCUUUUAUAUGUCAAGAAAAUGACGGUAGCAUAUGAAUAAGCACCGGCUAACUCCGUGCCAGCAGCCGCGGUAAUACGGAGGGUGCAAGCGUUAUUCGGAAUCACUGGGCGUAAAGGACGCGUAGGCGGGUUUGUAAGUCAGGUGUGAAAUCCUACAGCUUAACUGUAGAACUGCACUUGAAACUACUGACCUAGAGUAUGGGAGGGGGAGAUGGAAUUAGUGGUGUAGGGGUAAAAUCCGUAG
RNAcentral lists this ribosomal RNA (626 nucleotides) under uncultured bacterium. RNAcentral describes it as "bacterial SSU rRNA". It matches the Rfam family "Bacterial small subunit ribosomal RNA", at positions 43 to 693 of the family's 1533-position model. The record is from RNAcentral.